Molecule: long non-coding RNA, 2380 nt
Filed under: Nicotiana tabacum (common tobacco)
Lineage: Eukaryota; Viridiplantae; Streptophyta; Magnoliopsida; Solanales; Solanaceae
Description: long non-coding RNA (NTAB_LNC009124)
Source: RNAcentral
UAAAACCUUGGCACUCAAAUAUUUGCAAAAUCAGAAAUGAAAGGGGCGUUAGCCAUUAAUUGGUUAACAAAGGCAAUGUACUUGAAGUCCUUUUAAUUACGAUGGUCAUGGGAACUUUUGGCCAACUACAUGGUGUAUUUGGGUGGAAAUUACCUACCUGGGCAGUGUACCCUUGCAAGGAUCACUCAAGUUAUAAAGAUGGUCCAACGUGAUAUGCUAAUUCAAAAAAAUCCCGAUACAAUCUUUCUCAAGAAUAUCAUAUGGAUUUUCCCUACUUCAGGUAUGUUAAGGCCAUCUCUUGUUUCUUUUCGCAUGAUCCAUACGAUACGAACGAAACGUGCAAAUGCACAAAUUCCAUAUAUGAAUAGAAGUGCCUAUGUUCUUGAAUUUUCAUAUGUCUUAUUAUUCCAUCGUAUGUUCAUGGGUCUCAGAAAAUACGUAAAAUAAUUUUAUGAUAUUAAUCACAGGUAUAAUGGUCUUAUGACGUACCGAGAGAUUUUGUUAUCGUAUUUCAUAUGCAUUUCAUGCAUUUAUACAUGUAUAUUGAUCCAUGACUCAGACGGCGGUAUAUACGCGUAUAUAUAUAUAUAUAUAUAUGUAAUCAAAUGGCGUUAUAUACACAUACAUAUGUAUGUAUUCAAACGGCGUUAUAUACAUGUAUAUAUGUAUGUAUAUAUAUGUAUACGGGAUAUGGGAAAGGUUAUGGCGUUAUAUACGCACCACCACCUGAUCAGCUGGUAUAUGAUGAUGAUUUUGCCCACAGUGGCCGAUAUGAUAUGAUGGGAUGCCCUCAGAGGCUGAUGAUGUUAUGAAACAUGUACCUAUGCACAACAUGUCAUUCAUACGCAUAUGCAUGACGUUAAAAGUAAUUUAUGAUUUACAAAGUUGUUCAGACUUAUAGGUUGAGUCAUGUACUCUAUAUGUUUUACAUGUCUCUUAUGUAUUUAUUUAUGUGCCUUAUAUACUCGGUACAUUAUUCGUACUGGCGUCUCUUUUGCCUGGGGACGCUGCGUUUCAUGCCCGCAGGUCCCGAUAGACAGGUCGAGAGUCCUCCAAGUAGGCUAUCAGCUCAGCGGAAGAUGUUGGUGCGCUCCAUUUGCUUCGGAGUUGCUUGUUUGGUUAGUAUGAUUUAGACGUGUAUUAUUUGGUAUGGCGGGACUCUACCCCGACCUUUAUGACAUUUAUGUACUCUUAGAGGCUUGUAGACAUAUGUCAUGUAUGUGAAAGAUUGUACGGCCUUAUCGGCCUAUGUUUUGAGUUUAUAAAUGCUUUUGUUGGCCUAUUAGGCCCUUAUGUCACAUAUAAAUGAUGAUGUAAUAAGAAAGAUUCGUUUCGUUGGUAUUCGGUUGAGUAAGGUACCGGGUGCCCAUCGCGGCCCAUCGGUUUGGGUCGUGACAGAUACAAACGAAACAAGCAAAUGCACGACUUCCAUACGUAACUCUAUUCAUAGAAAUAUUAGAGGUUCCUAUGUUCUUGAUUCCCUAUAUGUCUUAUUAUUCUAUCGUUUGUUCAAGGGUCUCAAGAAUACGUAUGUUGGUAAAUUUUAUUUCAUGAUAUUAAUCAAAGGCAUAAUGGUCUUAUGAUGUACCGAGAAAUUUUAUUAACGUAUUUCAUAUGCAUUUCAUGCAUUUAUACAUGCACAUUGACUCAUGAUCAGAUGGUGUUAUAUACGCAUAUAUAUAUGUGUAUAUGGGAUAUGGGAAAGGUUAUGGCGUUAUAUACACACCACCACUUGAUCAGCUGGUAUACGUUAAUGAUUUGCCCACAGUGGCUGAGAUUAUAUGAUGGGAUGCCCUCAGAGGCUUGAUGAUGUUAUGUACUUACAUACCUAUGCAUUACAUGACAUACAUAUGCAUAUGCAUGACAUUAUAAAUAUUUCAUGAUUUACAGAGCUAUCAAGACUUACAAGUUGAGUCCUUACUCCAUGUUUCUUCCAUGUCCUUUAUAUAUGGAUUUACAUGCCUUACAUACUCAGUACAUUAUUCGUAUUGACGUCCUUUUGUUGGGGAUGCUGCAUUCAUGCAUGCAGGUAUAGAUAAUCAGUUUGACAAGCCCUUAUAGUAGACGAGAUUAGCAUUCAACAAAGGAUCGGUAAGACUCCACCUCAUUCGGAGAGCAGUCGAGUCUAUGAUUCAUCGUGUCAGAGUUUUGCUACAGACUUAUGGGUAGGUUGGUACCCUGUCCCAUUUUAUGUCAAAUAAUCUUAGAGGCUUUUUAGAUAAAGGUUCAUUUUGUACAGUAUGUCAGAGGUCUUGACGGCCCAUAUGUAUUCAUAUUUUAAGAAAAAUGAUUCAGUGAUACAGUGUUUUCCCACUUACACUUGUACAUUAUGAGUUGUGGCCCAUGAUAGCUUGAAAAAACAAAAUAAGUUAUAGCGUGG